RNAcentral lists this ribosomal RNA (520 nucleotides) under uncultured bacterium. RNAcentral's name for it is "bacterial SSU rRNA". It matches the Rfam family "Archaeal small subunit ribosomal RNA", at positions 345 to 866 of the family's 1478-position model. The record is from RNAcentral.
AACCUCCGCAAUGUGAGAAAUCGCGACGGGGGGAUCCCAAGUGCCAUUCUUAACGGGAUGGCUUUUCAUUAGUGUAAAGAGCUUUUGGAAUAAGAGCUGGGCAAGACCGGUGCCAGCCGCCGCGGUAACACCGGCAGCUCUAGUGGUAGCAAUUUUUAUUGGGCCUAAAGCGUCCGUAGCCGGUUUAAUAAGUCUCUGGUGAAAUCCUGUAGCUUAACUGUGGGAAUUGCUGGUGAUACCGUUGAACUUGAGGUCGGGAGAGGUUAGCGGUACUCCCAGGGUAGAGGUGAAAUUCUGUAAUCCUGGGGGGACCACCUGUGGCGAAGGCGGCUAACUGGAACGAACCUGACGGUGAGGGACGAAAGCUAGGGGCGCGAACCGGAUUAGAUACCCGGGUAGUCCUAGCCGUAAACGAUGCGGACUUGGUGUUGGGAUGGCUUUGAGCCGCUCCGGUGCCGAAGGGAAGCUGUUAAGUCCGCCGCCUGGGAGUACGGUCGCAAGACUGAAACUUAAAGGAAUU